GAAAAGCUUGCUUUUCAAAACUUAGCGGCGGACGGGUGAGUAACACGUGGGCAACCUGCCCUUGAGACGGGGAUAACUCCGGGAAACCGGAGCUAAUACCGGAUAACACAUAUCUUCGCAUGAGGAUAUGUUAGAAGGUGGCUUUUAGCUACCACUCAAGGAUGGGCCCGCGGCGCAUUAGCUAGUUGGUGAGGUAACGGCUCACCAAGGCGACGAUGCGUAGCCGACCUGAGAGGGUGAUCGGCCACACUGGGACUGAGACACGGCCCAGACUCCUACGGGAGGCAGCAGUAGGGAAUCUUCCGCAAUGGACGAAAGUCUGACGGAGCAACGCCGCGUGAGUGAUGAAGGUUUUCGGAUCGUAAAGCUCUGUUGUUAGGGAAGAACAAGUACCUGUUAAAUAAGCAGGUACCUUGACGGUACCUAACCAGAAAGCCACGGCUAACUACGUGCCAGCAGCCGCGGUAAUACGUAGGUGGCAAGCGUUGUCCGGAAUUAUUGGGCGUAAAGCGCGCGCAGGCGGUUCCUUAAGUCUGAUGUGAAAGCCCACGGCUCAACCGUGGAGGGUCAUUGGAAACUGGGGAACUUGAGUGCAGAAGAGGAGAGCGGAAUUCCACGUGUAGCGGUGAAAUGCGUAGAGAUGUGGAGGAACACCAGUGGCGAAGGCGGCUCUCUGGUCUGUAACUGACGCUGAGGCGCGAAAGC
This 705-nucleotide ribosomal RNA is filed under the name Bacillus sp. (in: firmicutes). RNAcentral describes it as "bacterial SSU rRNA". It matches the Rfam family "Bacterial small subunit ribosomal RNA", at positions 73 to 760 of the family's 1533-position model. The record is from RNAcentral. Lineage: Bacteria; Bacillati; Bacillota; Bacilli; Caryophanales; Bacillaceae.